UCGGACGUGGUGCACGGCGCACACCCGCUUUCUAUAGUAUAGCUUUCUAAGACUGACAGCGGGAGCUCUGGGUUCGACUCCCAGCGUCCGAA
This is a non-coding RNA of Mycena latifolia, 92 nucleotides long. The record is from the annotation of a GenBank genome assembly. NCBI's taxonomy places the organism in Eukaryota, Fungi, Basidiomycota, Agaricomycetes, Agaricales, Mycenaceae.